Long non-coding RNA from Lotus japonicus, 571 nucleotides. RefSeq lists it as uncharacterized. The transcript is spliced from 3 exons. The record is from RefSeq and is a predicted model, not a curated record. Lineage: Eukaryota; Viridiplantae; Streptophyta; Magnoliopsida; Fabales; Fabaceae.
AUAGCUUGCUUUACACUACUUUCUUCUCCACUGUCCUCUUCAUUUCUAGCUACAACAAACACUUCCUCUGUUCCCUGGAUCAACAUCUCCACCAUCUCCGUCAAGCAACCCUCUGUGGCGAACGAGGAAUUUGUCAGCCAGCAACGAUACAAGUUCUAGUCUGCAUUCUCAUGGAGUGCGCGGUUCCUGUAACCAACAGAGAAGGAAUAAUCAGCCAUAUUAUUGGAGCCUGCUAAAUCAAUCAAUUUGGUUCCAACCUGGUUAGGCAUGUUCUUUGAAGAUGCAUUCACUGUUUGAAGAGAUUUGGCAAUCUGGUAUCAAUAAAUGAAACCCUGCAAUCCUGUUGAUUCCUUAUUUUAUUAGAUUCCUACAAACAAGAUGAUCUUGCUACUUGUGUUAUUAUAAUGGCGAGCUUGUUCUUUUAUGUUUCUGUAAUACUUUAAUUUUACAUGUGCAUCUGGUGCUCCUGAACUUAGGAGCUGAAACUGAGAAUACUAUAUUUGAGAAUAUCAGAAACGUGAUUCUAUUGUACCAACUGAAUCACCGGACUUUGAAAUGGUCCUUUGUGUUU